RNAcentral lists this ribosomal RNA (496 nucleotides) under uncultured bacterium. RNAcentral's name for it is "partial 16S ribosomal RNA". It matches the Rfam family "Bacterial small subunit ribosomal RNA", at positions 30 to 523 of the family's 1533-position model. The record is from RNAcentral.
AUUGAACGCUGGCGGAAUGCUUUACACAUGCAAGUCGAACGGUAGAGGGGGCAACCCCUCGAGAGUGGCGAACGGGUGAGUAAUAUAUCGGAACGUGCCCAGUCGUGGGGGAUAACGUAGCGAAAGUUACGCUAAUACCGCAUACGAUCUAAGGAUGAAAGCGGGGGAUCGCAAGACCGCGCGCGAUUGGAGCGGUCGAUAUCAGAAUAGGUAGUAGGUGGGGUAAAGGCUCAACAAGCCAACGAUCGGUAGCUGGUCUGAGAGGACGACCAGCCACACUGGAACUGAGACACGGUCCAGACUCCUACGGGAGGCAGCAGGGGGGAAUUUUGGACAAUGGACGCAAGUCUGAUCCAGCCAUUCCGCGUGCAGGAUGAAGGCCCUCGGGUUGUAAACUGCUUUUGUACGGAACGAAAAGGUCUCUCUUAAUACGGGGGGCUCAUGACGGUACCGUAAGAAUAAGCACCGGCUAACUACGUGCCAGCCGCCGCGGUAA